GACAUGGUUGCAAGGGGAAGGACGAAAAACACUUCUUUGGCCAGUAUGCCGCAAUUUAUUAUCAUUUUGAUAUAACAGAAACAUAUACGCAAUAGAACGCUACUCAUACAGGUAAGACAAAGUAGAUUUGCUUAUAUUUUACAUGCACUUCGUAGUCCGAGAUUUCUCAGAUUUAGCCAUUCAUAAGGAAUAUUCUACUCAACUCGACAACUGUAUGUCUGUAAUGGUUUCAUAUAUAUAUAUUAUCAGAUGUCGAAUUUUUCUAUAGGAGACGAUUUGACUUGUGCCCGUCCGAGAUUACUCUGACGUCCUACGCUCAUGGGCCUAGCUUGUCUUGCAAAACAGCUGUUUGAAGUCCGAGCAAUCUCGGACGCAUUUCAGUGACUUGAUACGCCAGCCGGAUAAUAUAAUUCUGAUUACUUCCAGAGGGAAAAUUACAGGCUUAAAUGGUUAGGCAACAAUGAUUAAUGUCAGUCGCCAGAUUCUCCCAUGUCGUCGGGGAGGGAUGCACUUCGAUCCGUUUGUGGUAGCCAAUGGUGAUUCCAGAACUUUCUAUAAAUGGGAUUUGGGGGGAGGGGGCACUGACUGCCAUAACAAAGGGACCCGCUAAAGUCAUCUUUUAGUGUUUACCUGUAUAAUAAACCAAUUUUUUUCACACGAAAAAGGAGGGGGGGCUGGAUCCGCCUAUGGUAGCGAUGAGCCUCCAAGACAGACAUACUUUAAUAUGACUACAUGAGAGUUUUUACCAUUUUUUUUACAUCGAGUCUAUGAGAGAGAAAUUAUGACUGUAACAGUGCUUAGUGCCAAAUUACCAAAAAAACUUGAAGGAAGACUAUUUCUAUAUUAGGGUAGGUAUGGAAAUAGGAAAUACACAUAUAUAGACAAUAAUAGUGAAUUGACUUGACAUAUCAACGAUAUAAGGAAUAGUUAGAAACGGGAAAUGCGAGGCUGUGCCGAGCUAUUUCCCCGUUUCGGGCCGAACCUAUAUCGUUAUAUGUCAGUCAUGCACUAUUAUUGUCUUUAUACUGCAAUAAAGUAAAAAACAACAUUUCAGAUUGUUGUUAAUGCGUUUAGGUUAUUUAUUUGAUUUUAAAUAUUGGGUCCGAAAAUCCCCUUAAAAAGGCCCUCAGAUAUCUGAUGCUCGCGGAGAGAAUAUACAAACACAAUGAAAUGUACAAUUUUGAGUUGAAUUCCACACGCGAUGAACGAAAUCUUUGAGUAUGAGACUAAAUAUCAAUGCAUAAGCAUAAAACAUAAUGAUUAAUAGGUUGCAAACAAAAAAAUAAACAAAACUCAUACAAAUGAUAUAUGUUUUAUCCAAUAAUUGAAUGUAAAAGAAACAAGUUUGAUCGUUUUGAUACAUAACAGACAUAACAUUUACCGAUUUCAAAAUAAAUUUACUCUAAUAUAUAUACAUUUUGUACUUAGCUUACUGGCAGGAAUUAAUAAUAAUAGGUUACAUGUAUAGUUUUAUGGGUCAAGCUAGUCUUACAAAUAUGCCUCGGAGUCAUCUUUUCAUAAAUGAUUUUAAGCUGAUAUUUUCGUGAUUUAUUACUUUUUUUUUUAAAAGAAGCUCGGUGGAAGCUUGAUAAUAAAAGCAAUGCAUAUAUAUAGCAAAUUUGCAAAAUAAAUGAAAAGAAAAUACGAAAAUUAAGGAAAAUGUAAAUAUCGCUACAAGAGUUUUGUGUUCCAGGACUAGGCUAAAAAAAAAAAACAACACACAAAUUCAAAAAAGCUGUUAACCGAAUACACCCUUAGAUGGGAAUUAAAUUUCACGAAAGUCGCUAAAUACAUGUAGGAUGUAUUUCUAAAAAAAAAAACACUUUUCUCCCUUUCAUAAUGUACAGUAUAGACCUGGAUGUUGUUCCAUAAAAAAAUCAAUUGAACUAGUGGUUCAUAUGUCAAAUGUUUGUGUUUUGAAUAGUAACAACAGGCAUAUAUUGGUGUGGAAAACUUAAUUUAAAAGAAGUUUAAAUGAAGGUUUUCUUCGAAUAAUAAUGCGUUUUUCGUUCCCUAGUGGUGUGAUGUUACAACGAAAAUUUAUUGUUGAUAAUAUUUCAUAUAAUUAUUUAUUUCUCUUUUCAGCAUUUGUAAAGAAGUGGCUUCACCUUUCUGGUUACUAUUCAUGUGUUGUGUAUUAAUGUAUCGCAACACUUUAUAGUUAUUGGACAGGUUAAACUCAGACGACGAAUCAUCCAAACAGCACCAGAUCUUUUGUGAUUCCAGCUGAUUUCAGAUCACUAGC
This 2245-nucleotide long non-coding RNA is filed under the name Mytilus galloprovincialis (Mediterranean mussel). Lineage: Eukaryota; Metazoa; Mollusca; Bivalvia; Mytilida; Mytilidae. The record is from RNAcentral.